UAUAAUAUGAAAAAACUUUAACGAUCGUUAAUCUUUUUUUCUAGGAACUUGGAUUGUAAUUAACAUACAGACUGAAGACCGGAAAAAAUAUGACACUUUCAAUAUAUUACGCUAUAUACAGUCCGUUAACCAGACACUAACAAAACAAUUACUAUAACAAUAACAUCAUUAACAUAAUACAAUAAGUACGGAACACAUGAAUUACGUGUUUUGUCCAAAGAAUAAGAAUGCCUCCGACAAUAGAUUCGCAACAUACGUUUGAACGGCGUUCCUAUAGAAAUUAUUAAAAGUUUUCACUUAUUUGUUUUCUUCCUUUUACGUGACAUCCGCAUAUUGUUUCUAUACUGAUAUAAACACACGGAAUGACCAAAAUGCAAACAUUGUCAUAAACGACAUCAAUUUUAACUCAUCUUUUUGCGUUCAUUUAUACUUAGUACUUUAUAAAAUGGUGUCCAAGUCUCCAAUUGUCAUAAUAUGCAUUUUUGCAAUAGUCCAAAUGGCUUUUUGCGCGCUACCAACCAAUUUUGAAAUGCCAUCCAA
Molecule: long non-coding RNA, 540 nt
Organism: Daktulosphaira vitifoliae (grape phylloxera)
Lineage: Eukaryota; Metazoa; Arthropoda; Insecta; Hemiptera; Phylloxeridae
Exons: 3
Source: RefSeq, a predicted model, not a curated record